GCGUAUAACAAUACAAGAUUGAAAGCAACGGAUUUCGUUUGAUCUACGAAGUUCGCAAGUCUCGGGUCGGGUUAGUUCUUAGGUGGAUGAACUUUUGAGAGCUCCUGGUUUUAUGGACU
RNAcentral lists this ribosomal RNA (119 nucleotides) under Tetranychus urticae (two-spotted spider mite). Lineage: Eukaryota; Metazoa; Arthropoda; Arachnida; Trombidiformes; Tetranychidae. The record is from RNAcentral.